RNAcentral lists this ribosomal RNA (459 nucleotides) under uncultured bacterium. Its description in RNAcentral is "partial 16S ribosomal RNA". It matches the Rfam family "Bacterial small subunit ribosomal RNA", at positions 338 to 795 of the family's 1533-position model. The record is from RNAcentral.
CCUACGGGGGGCAGCAGUGAGGAAUAUUGGUCAAUGGGCGCGAGCCUGAACCAGCCAAGUCGCGUGAGGGAAGACGGUCCUAUGGAUUGUAAACCUCUUUUGUCGGGGAGCAAAAGACGCCACGCGUGGCGUUCCGAGAGUACCCGAAGAAAAAGCAUCGGCUAACUCCGUGCCAGCAGCCGCGGUAAUACGGAGGAUGCGAGCGUUAUCCGGAUUUAUUGGGUUUAAAGGGUGCGCAGGCGGAAGAUCAAGUCAGUGGUAAAAUUGAGAGGCUCAACCUCUUCGAGCCGUUGAAACUGGUUAUCUUGAGUGGGCGAGAAGUAUGCGGAAUGCGUGGUGUAGCGGUGAAAUGCAUAGAUAUCACGCAGAACUCCGAUUGCGAAGGCAGCAUACCGGCGCUCAACUGACGCUCAUGCACGAAAGUGUGGGUAUCGAACAGGAUUAGAUACCCUAGUAGUC